RNAcentral lists this non-coding RNA (734 nucleotides) under Hoeflea sp. IMCC20628. Its description in RNAcentral is "Bacterial small subunit ribosomal RNA". It matches the Rfam family "Bacterial small subunit ribosomal RNA", at positions 804 to 1533 of the family's 1533-position model. The record is from Rfam by way of RNAcentral. Lineage: Bacteria; Pseudomonadati; Pseudomonadota; Alphaproteobacteria; Hyphomicrobiales; Rhizobiaceae.
AAACGAUGAAUGUUAGCCGUCGGGCAGUUUACUGUUCGGUGGCGCAGCUAACGCAUUAAACAUUCCGCCUGGGGAGUACGGUCGCAAGAUUAAAACUCAAAGGAAUUGACGGGGGGCCCGCACAAGCGGUGUGAGCAUGUGGUUUAAUUCGAAGCAACGCGCAGAACCUUACCAGCCCUUGACAUCCCGAUCGCGGUUUCCAGAGAUGGAUUCCUUCAGUUCGGCUGGAUCGGUGACAGGUGCUGCAUGGCUGUCGUCAGCUCGUGUCGUGACGAUGUUGGUUAAGUCCCGCAACGAGCGCAACCUUCGCCCUUAGUUGCCAGCAUUAAGUUGGGCACUCUAAGGGGACUGCCGGUGAUAAGCCGCGAGGAAGGUGAAGAUGACGUCAAGUCCUCAUGGCCCUUACGGGCUGGGCUACACACGUGCUACAAUGGUGGUGACAGUGGGCAGCGAGACGGCAACGUCGAGCUAAUCUCCAAAAACCAUCUCAGUUCGGAUUGGGGUCUGCAACUCGACCCCAUGAAGUUGGAAUCGCUAGUAAUCGCGGAUCAGCAUGCCGCGGUGAAUACGUUCCCGGCCUUGUACACACCGCCCGUCACACCAUGGGAGUUGGUUCUACCCGAAGGCGAUGCGCUAACCCGCAAGGGAGGCAGUCGACCACGGUAGGGUCAGCGACUGGGGUGAAGUCGUAACAAGGUAGCCGUAGGGGAACCUGCGGCUGGAUCACCUCCUUU